RNAcentral lists this long non-coding RNA (1694 nucleotides) under Felis catus (domestic cat). RNAcentral's name for it is "lncRNA (ENSFCAG00000048188.1)". The record is from RNAcentral. Lineage: Eukaryota; Metazoa; Chordata; Mammalia; Carnivora; Felidae.
UGUAUGUGCCGCCGAAGCGAGCCCAGGAAGAGCUGUUUACACGCUAUUUCCGUAACGCAUGGCCAGGGUUAAACCAGUUCCACAGAAAUGUACUUUUCAUCAUGAUAACUUGUGAAUACGAAAAAUUACUUGAAGGCAUUUUUUUCCCCCUUCUACCUUGGAAGAGCAGAGGGCUAAUACGCCAUUCUCAUUGUUCUUCCUGGGAGUGCUGUACAUCUGGGUCGGACUUCCUAAUGAAAUGGUGGCCUUUCUGAUGAGUCCAGCUGGUCAGUGACAUGGCGUGGCCCUGUUUUGAGAUGAACGCAGCGUGGAGUCAAGGGAGAGAGACGGUCGGCACUCCCUUGAAGGCUGGGCCGUGGGGAAGAAGGCCUCACAGAACAAUUGGCCAAGGCGUGGCCCAAUGAUUAGCAGGUGCUGCCCUCUCUGCCCUUGGCUGUGUUUCCUGGCCAGCGAAGAAGCUUAUCUCAACACGCUUGGAACGGAUGAAGACAUGGAUGUUUCCCAAUUGUUUGACUUCUAACCUUCCUGGGUGACCUGCAUGUCACUAGCUGAGAGGCCACAGCAGAGCCCGGAUGGGGCCUCCCGGCUUCUAGGGUGGAUUGCCAACUAACGAAUAAGGCCAUUUGAUGCCGGUCUCGAGGUUAGAAGUCAACAGUCAGGAUUUUCAAAACAUCAUCUCUUAAAGACGUUUCUAAGUGGACACACAUCAUCCUUACAACUCCUGGAACUCAGAGAGGAAACCGUCUGACUUUGGAGCUGUUGCCAAUGAUGGCUUCAACGGGAUUUUCGUAAUAUUCGAGUAGAGUGACACCAGAAAUUUUUACAGAUCCUCAAAAUCUUCGAAAGGCAUUUAAGUAGUUGUGGCUACAUUAAAUCUUCUUGAAGAAGUAAAUAUCUUUUAAAGUAUGACAUUGAAUUGGGAUACGGGCACGGACACAGCUGAUGCUAUAAGUUUCUCUUCAGAAGUAAAUUAGUGUCAUUUCUUAUGGUUCAUUGUCAUGGAGGCAGCGGUGGCAGUAGAAGUUCUGGAAAGCCAUCAAAUUUACUCACUGAUCGCAUCCACAGGACCUGCACUUUGUUAAACAAUGCGCAUAGAAUGAUGAGCAAGUCAGGGACUGAAGACCUGUCAGUGGAAAUUUAUACUUUGUUUUUAAGUAAGAGAGAAGAAAUAUGAAUGACCCAGGAAAAAGAAGUGACCACAGUAAGUAACCUUUUAAAGACAUUCCUCUUUUCCUAACUUCCCAGAAGCGAUCACACUUAGCAAUGGGAGUUAAAUCCUCCAGUUCUCGUGGUUCUGUCCUUAUGUGAGUUCUCAAGCCGCCCCUGGGCUCUUAGCACAACCCAGAACCUCAAGUUUAAUGAACAAAUGCUCUACCUAAGAGAUACAGUUUUAUCUUCAAAUCUGUCACUUCAAAUGAAAAGCAGGCCCCUGAAUCUUUGAGCUAAGGAAUAGGGUCAUUCUGUUAGGGUCGAGUGGUAACAUGGAAAGUAUGUCCUAUUGAGAGAUCAUGUUCUCUGUUUUCUGAAGCAUAAACUGUGGUGGUAACUGAACAGGUAGUACUUUUCAGUGUUUGCAAAUUUUACUAAAACGUCAGGUAUACAUAGUAUCUAUAGACUCAUGUGUCUGUUCAAGAGUGAGCUUAUUUUGUUCUUAUUUUAUAUUUAACCCACUAAAUGAUGUACCUAUUUUUUCC